UUACACGUAGACAAGUUGACCAUU
RNAcentral lists this microRNA (24 nucleotides) under Solanum tuberosum (potato). RNAcentral describes it as "stu-miR7995". The record is from miRBase by way of RNAcentral. Lineage: Eukaryota; Viridiplantae; Streptophyta; Magnoliopsida; Solanales; Solanaceae.